GAAUUCAACUCCUACGGGAGGCAGCAGUAGGGAAUAUUGGGCAAUGGACGAGAGUCUGACCCAGCCAUGCCGCGUGCAGGAAGAAGGCGUUCUGCGUUGUAAACUGCUUUUAUCUGGGAAGAAAAGGCCCAUGCGUGGGACAUUGCCGGUACCAGAUGAAUAAGCACCGGCUAACUCCGUGCCAGCAGCCGCGGUAAUACGGAGGGUGCAAGCGUUGUCCGGAUUUAUUGGGUUUAAAGGGUGCGUAGGCGGCUAUUUAAGUCAGCGGUGAAAGACUCCGGCUCAACCGGAGCAGUGCCAUUGAUACUGGAUAGCUUGAGUGUUGGAGGGGUACAUGGAAUUGAUGGUGUAGCGGUGAAAUGCAUAGAUACCAUCAGGAACACCGAUAGCGAAGGCAUUGUACUGGCCAACAACUGACGCUGAGGCACGAAAGCAUGGGGAGCGAACAGGAUUAGAAACCCUAGUAGUCCAGGCGUU
RNAcentral lists this ribosomal RNA (477 nucleotides) under uncultured bacterium. Its description in RNAcentral is "bacterial SSU rRNA". It matches the Rfam family "Bacterial small subunit ribosomal RNA", at positions 328 to 803 of the family's 1533-position model. The record is from RNAcentral.